Molecule: long non-coding RNA, 370 nt
Filed under: Populus tremula
Lineage: Eukaryota; Viridiplantae; Streptophyta; Magnoliopsida; Malpighiales; Salicaceae
Description: long non-coding RNA (PTRE_LNC002776)
Source: RNAcentral
CCCCUAAUGGGCUUCCACAUUUACACCAAUCUUUGCUUCGACCGCCACCUGGACUUGCAAUGCCUCCUUCCAUGCAGCAACCCAUGCAAUACCCCAAUUUCAAUACUUCUUUGCCCACUGGUGCCUUAAAUUUAGCCAGUUCAACCUUGCCCCCUUUGAACCUGCCGGCUUCAACCUUGCCCCCAUCAAACCUGCCGGUGUCAACCUUGCCCCCAUCAAACCUGCUCGUGUCAACCUUGCCAGCUUCCUUGCCAGAUGUCCCACUUCCUCUACUUCCUGGCAUCACUAGUUCCCUUAAUUUCACUUCCCAUUUCUCAGUGCCAUCAACUUUGCCUUCAACUGUACCCUUAAUACCCGCUGCUUCUCUGCC